CAAUAUAUGGGGGAAAGGCGUGAUUGCUGUGGCCUGUGACUCAGAGAAAGCAGUAACUGCUGAGGAAAUGAAGACACUUCUGGGACGUUUGCCCUAAUAGGAUCCUCUGAACAAGUCUGCAGAAAAAAGGACAGGAAUCUGGAGAGUCAGAUCAACACUUGAUGCUCAAAUAUUGGCGUUCUACAGUACUGGCAAAGCACUCAACUUCUCAGCAUACAGUGUCUUGGGAACCAGAGAAAGAGCAGGUUGGCUUGUGACCUUUGGACAGGUUUCCGUGUAACGUGC
RNAcentral lists this long non-coding RNA (285 nucleotides) under Salvator merianae (Argentine black and white tegu). RNAcentral describes it as "lncRNA (ENSSMRG00000017333.1)". Lineage: Eukaryota; Metazoa; Chordata; Lepidosauria; Squamata; Teiidae. The record is from RNAcentral.